CACCCCCCCCCCUUCUCGGCAGCGGCUUUCCCCUUGCCCACUAAUGCGCUGCUCACACAUGGAGUCGCGGCGUCACCCGGCGGAGCAUGCGCGGGGCAGGGCCCGUCCUGGGCCGCGGGGACGGGCCGGGGCCGGAGCAGCAGCAGGAGCAGUAGGAGCAGUGGUAGCAGUAAAAGCAGUGGUAGCAGUAGAAGCAGUGGCAGCAGGAGCAGCAGCAGCAGCCGCGCGGGGGCCCGGCGCCGCUUCCGGGCAAUGGUGGAGCAAGUUUGUAGGUCCCGUGAAAAGACGGGGAGCCUGCUCAGUGGGUUACAACCACUUGUUUAUACCCCGCACCCGAGCACAGAGGAUUUCAGACAGCAAUGGUCUCACGGACAGCACAUCACCCGAAAUUUGGCCAACUUCUUUUUGUUUUACAUAA
Molecule: long non-coding RNA, 418 nt
Filed under: Cairina moschata (Muscovy duck)
Lineage: Eukaryota; Metazoa; Chordata; Aves; Anseriformes; Anatidae
Description: domestica (muscovy Duck (domestic type)) lncRNA (ENSCMMG00000009179.1)
Source: RNAcentral